Molecule: long non-coding RNA, 1079 nt
Organism: Mastomys coucha (southern multimammate mouse)
Lineage: Eukaryota; Metazoa; Chordata; Mammalia; Rodentia; Muridae
Exons: 7
Source: RefSeq, a predicted model, not a curated record
UGGUCCAGUGUGCUGGACAUUGUGUGGUCCAACUUCACUCAAGAAAAGUUGAUGCAGAUAGGACCACAGUGAUGGAUGCUUUGUUACUAUAACUGAACCACUCAUGCAGUUAGCUUAGGUACCAGGAUACAUCUGACAAGUGAGUAAAAUCACUAAGGAAAAUGUGUCAAGCCUUGAUGAUUUUUCUCCCUGUAGUUUCUUUUCAGUAAAUAAUAACAGAGUUAUCUUGAACUACAAGAAAAAACUGGAAAGUAUAAUCUACUUCUAUGCCUGAACAAAGAAUGUAUAGAUUUACGUGAGUAACAAGAUGAUUUUGUUCUACAGCAUUGACUUACAUCGAUUGAAGAAUGAUGUGUUUUCCUGUCUUUGGAUUCCUCCAAAGACUCCAGUGUUCAAGUCUUAGUCAUCUGCAGUUGUCAAUGUUAAUCACCAAAAGAAGGCCUGAUCAUGAGGACCCUAAACUCAUCAUGGAGAGAUCACUAUCAAGCUUUGAAAGUAUGAAGAUUUCCAAAAGAAAGAAAAUGUGUGGAGCUGGCUAUGAAGGAGUUGGUGAUAAUAACAGCUGGUUGGAUUGGAAGGCUUCUCACAAGCUUAGGCUUCUGCCACCAUGUUUUGGAGCUCUGUGGUCUCUAACCAUCAGUUCAACAUUCUGAAUACUCUUCUCUUCAAUUACAGGUGGGAAGAAAAAGCUGCAGAUAAAUAAUCAUCCAGGAAGAGAAGCAUUUACUCCUCCCUUUCAAUCACAGUGAGGAGGCUUCACAAGUGGGGCUUUGCAGAACAUGAGUCUGCUGUAACAGAAUACCACAAGCUGAAGGGUUUAGCAAACAUGAAUGUACCACUGGUUUACCUGGCCAUAAAGGACAAGUGUGUCUCCCGAUGGAGUAGGUGACAAGAAAAUCUGUUUUGCUACCUUAUUCCAGACGAUGCUUCUAGCUUUGGUAUCAUCAUUCAUCAUUCCUGUCUUCUACGACACUAAUGGAAAUUAAAAUAAACAAACCUGUCCGCAUAAGAAGUGAAAAGAUCCUCUAUGGUGACAAAUUUCACAGAAAUUGCAAUGUGAAUAAAAUAUCCUCCAUGUU